UACGUAGGUGGCAAGCGUUAUCCGGAAUUAUUGGGUUUAAAGGGUGCGUAGGCGGACUGUCAAGUCAGCGGUAAAAUUGAGAGGCUCAACCUCUUCCCGCCGUUGAAACUGGUGGUCUUGAGUGGAUGAGAAGUACGCGGAAUGCGUGGUGUAGCGGUGAAAUGCAUAGAUAUCACGCAGAACUCCGAUUGCGAAGGCAGCGUACCGGCAUCCAACUGACGCUGAGGCACGAAAGCGUGGGGAUCAAACAGG
Molecule: ribosomal RNA, 252 nt
Filed under: uncultured bacterium
Lineage: Bacteria
Description: partial 16S ribosomal RNA
Rfam family: Bacterial small subunit ribosomal RNA
Source: RNAcentral